UGGGGAAUAUUGCACAAUGGGCGCAAGCCUGAUGCAGCCAUGCCGCGUGUGUGAAGAAGGCCUCGGGUUGUAAAGCACUUUCAGCGAGGAGGAAGGUGGUGAACUUAAUACGUUCAUCAAUUGACGUUACUCGCAGAAGAAGCACCGGCUAACUCCGUGCCAGCAGCCGCGGUAAUACGGAGGGUGCAAGCGUUAAUCGGAAUUACUGGGCGUAAAGCGCACGCAGGCGGUUUGUUAAGUCAGAUGUGAAAUCCCCGGGCUCAACCUGGGAACUGCAUUUGAAACUGGCAAGCUAGAGUCUCGUAGAGGGGGGCUAGAAUUCCAGGUGUAGCGGUGAAAUGCGUAGAGAUCUGGAGGAAUACCGGUGGCGAAGGCGGCCCCCCUGGACGAAGACUGACGCUCAGGUGCGAAAAGGCGU
This 418-nucleotide ribosomal RNA is filed under the name uncultured bacterium. RNAcentral's name for it is "partial 16S ribosomal RNA". It matches the Rfam family "Bacterial small subunit ribosomal RNA", at positions 355 to 764 of the family's 1533-position model. The record is from RNAcentral.